Molecule: ribosomal RNA, 253 nt
Filed under: uncultured bacterium
Lineage: Bacteria
Description: partial 16S ribosomal RNA
Rfam family: Bacterial small subunit ribosomal RNA
Source: RNAcentral
UACGAAGGGGGCGAGCGUUGUUCGGAUUUACUGGGCGUAAAGGGCGCGCAGGCGGCUCAUUUUGUCAGGCGUGAAAGCCCCGGGCUUAACCUGGGAACUGCGUUUGAUACGGAUGGGCUAGAGUUCGGGAGAGGAGAGUGGAAUUCCCAGUGUAGAGGUGAAAUUCGUAGAUAUUCGGAAGAACACCAGUGGCGAAGGCGGCUCACUGGACCGGCAUUGACGCUGAGGUGCGAAAGCGUGGGGAGCAAACAGG